This 378-nucleotide unclassified non-coding RNA is filed under the name plant metagenome. RNAcentral describes it as "partial contains 5.8S ribosomal RNA, internal transcribed spacer 2, and large subunit ribosomal RNA". The stretch from base 1 to 105 matches the Rfam family "5.8S ribosomal RNA", at positions 50 to 154 of the family's 154-position model. The record is from RNAcentral.
GAAAUGCGAUAAGUAAUGUGAAUUGCAGAAUUCAGUGAAUCAUCGAAUCUUUGAACGCACCUUGCACUCCUUGGUAUUCCUUGGAGCAUGCCUGUUUGAGUAUCAUGAAAUCUUCAAAGUAAAUCUUUUGUUAACUCAAUUGGUUUCUACUUUGGUAUUGGAGGUCUUUGCAGCUUCACACCGGCUCCUCUUUGUUCAUUAGCUGGAUCUCAGUGUUAUGCUUGGUUCCACUCGGCGUGAUAAGUUAUCUAUCGCUGAGGACACUGUAAAAGGUGGCCAAGGUAAAUGCAGAUGAACCGCUUCUAAUAGUCCAUUGACUUGGACAAUACUUUUAUGAUCUGAUCUCAAAUCAGGUAGGACUACCCGCUGAACUUAAGC